RNAcentral lists this ribosomal RNA (498 nucleotides) under uncultured bacterium. RNAcentral describes it as "partial 16S ribosomal RNA". It matches the Rfam family "Bacterial small subunit ribosomal RNA", at positions 30 to 523 of the family's 1533-position model. The record is from RNAcentral.
AUUGAACGCUGGCGGCAUGCCUUACACAUGCAAGUCGAACGGUAACAGGUCUACGGAUGCUGACGAGUGGCGAACGGGUGAGUAAUACAUCGGAACGUGCCUAGUAGUGGGGGAUAACUACUCGAAAGAGUGGCUAAUACCGCAUGAGAUCUACGGAUGAAAGCAGGGGAUCGCAAGACCUUGUGCUACUAGAGCGGCCGAUGGCAGAUUAGGUAGUUGGUGGGAUAAAAGCUUACCAAGCCGACGAUCUGUAGCUGGUCUGAGAGGACGAUCAGCCACACUGGGACUGAGACACGGCCCAGACUCCUACGGGAGGCAGCAGUGGGGAAUUUUGGACAAUGGGCGAAAGCCUGAUCCAGCAAUGCCGCGUGCAGGAUGAAGGCCUUCGGGUUGUAAACUGCUUUUGUACGGAACGAAAAGCCCCGGGUUAAUACCCGGGGCUCAUGACGGUACCGUAAGAAUAAGCACCGGCUAACUACGUGCCAGCCGCCGCGGUAA